This 77-nucleotide transfer RNA is filed under the name Hyphomonas sp. RNAcentral describes it as "tRNA-Pro". It matches the Rfam family "tRNA". Rfam says of the family: Transfer RNA (tRNA) molecules are approximately 80 nucleotides in length. Their secondary structure includes four short double-helical elements and three loops (D, anti-codon, and T loops). The record is from RNAcentral. RNAcentral also lists the same sequence under 336 other names. Lineage: Bacteria; Pseudomonadati; Pseudomonadota; Alphaproteobacteria; Hyphomonadales; Hyphomonadaceae.
CGGAGCGUAGCGCAGCCUGGUAGCGCACCUGCUUCGGGAGCAGGGGGUCGGAGGUUCGAAUCCUCUCGCUCCGACCA